Long non-coding RNA from Raphanus sativus (radish), 1263 nucleotides. RefSeq lists it as uncharacterized. The transcript is spliced from 2 exons. Lineage: Eukaryota; Viridiplantae; Streptophyta; Magnoliopsida; Brassicales; Brassicaceae. The record is from RefSeq and is a predicted model, not a curated record.
ACACGUAUACUAGCUAGAAACCCCUAUGUUUACAUUCUAAUAAAGACAAUAACCAGUCCCAUCCAAACCAAUCUUCCCCCUUUCACUUCGUUGCGAUAAACUCAAAAACCCUAAUUUUUUAGAAACCUCACUACUCUCCCAUUUUUCUCAAUCGAGGGGAGAAAAUCAUCCCUAAUUGAGACCUCAUUCCAGUUUUGAGCACCGACCAAUGUCUCCAAGCUGAUUCUAGUGGAAGAACCUCAAAGUAACAUGAUUCAGGUAUUGACCAAGAACCUCUCUCCUCACUAUAUGUCGAACGGAUAGAUCAUCUUCAUCUUUGUCACCCUCUCGUCAAUGAUGUCUAGCGGCAAGUUGAAUUCUCUGACCACACAGAGAGAUAGCACCACCGCAUGGUUUACAUUUCUCCAUCUUGUGCUUGAUGAGAAUCGUCUAGAUGCCCCCUAAGCGAGAGUUUCGGCGGCUGCUCCUCCUGCCGGACCUCCAACAAUGACGGCGCCGCGGAGGUUACGGUUAGCGAGUUUGGGACUGGCUCUGGAUGCGGUUACUCUGAUGUACGUAGCUGGAGUCAGGAGUCCCUGCCAUGUAAGGUCAAUAUCUCCGUAAGCAUGUUAUAAAAUUCUUACAUUUCAGUAAUCAUUUAUUCAAAAGUUCCUCUUACAAUUACUGACUAAAUUGUUCCUCUUACGCUUUAAAAGUUGAAGCUUCCUUUUAUGCUUAGAUUUCAAAUGUUACUCGAUUCUUUUUCUUUUUUUUUAAGUUCACAAUUUCAAGUUUCUUUUGUGUUGGAUUAUAAAUAUUACUCCAUUUAUAAAGUUCAUUCUUAAGCUAAACUCAGGGAGAAACCUGGAAAGAAGAUAAAGACAACAACAAGAACAAAAAUCGAUGAAGACAAGAACACAAAAUAAUACAAAUUAAAGAGAAGAAACCCAAAGAGGUGUUGGUAAAACCACAACGUGUACUAAGUAUGCUUAUUAUCAUCAGAAGCAAGACUACAAACCAGCUCUAGUAUGUAUGGAAGGGGUGGUGCUAUCCAUCAACUGAAACAGAAUGCUACCAAGGCUAGGAUUCAUUAUUAUGAAGGUAUUAAGGUUUCUUAUUUAAGUAUCAGCUUUCUUCUUGCUUGUUUUCAAGAUCUUUGGUGCUUCUGUUUACAAAAUAAUAGUAGCUCACAUGUAGGAAUGUGUAUAAACUGAUGGAAUUUCCUUUGUAACGGUGAAGUUAAAGUAAAAUCAUACAAGUUUAUGAAAGUUUAUAUUUGUGCUU